RNAcentral lists this ribosomal RNA (266 nucleotides) under uncultured bacterium. RNAcentral's name for it is "partial 16S ribosomal RNA". It matches the Rfam family "Bacterial small subunit ribosomal RNA", at positions 89 to 353 of the family's 1533-position model. The record is from RNAcentral.
UGGCGACCGGCGCACGGGUGCGUAACGCGUAUGUAACCUACCUAUAACAGGGGCAUAACACUGAGAAAUUGGUACUAAUUCCCCAUAAUAUUCGGGAGAGGCAUCUCUCCGGGUUGAAAACUCCGGUGGUUAUAGAUGGACAUGCGUUGUAUUAGCUAGUUGGUGAGGUAACGGCUCACCAAGGCAACGAUACAUAGGGGGACUGAGAGGUUAACCCCCCACACUGGUACUGAGACACGGACCAGACUCCUACGGGAGGCAGCAUG